AACGAACGCUGGCGGCAGGCCUAACACAUGCAAGUCGAACGCGUCGCAAGACGAGUGGCAGACGGGUGAGUAACGCGUGGGAACGUACCCUUUGGUUCGGAACAACUCCGGGAAACUGGAGCUAAUACCGGAUAAGCCCUUCGGGGGAAAGAUUUAUCGCCAGAGGAUCGGCCCGCGUUAGAUUAGCUAGUUGGUGAGGUAAUGGCUCACCAAGGCUGCGAUCUAUAGCUGGUCUGAGAGGAUGAUCAGCCACACUGGGACUGAGACACGGCCCAGACUCUUACGGGAGGCAGCAGUGGGGAAUCUUGGACAAUGGGCGAAAGCCUGAUCCAGCCAUGCCGCGUGAAUGAUGAAGGCCCUAGGGUUGUAAAAUUCUUUCGACGGGGAAGAUAAUGACGGUACCCGUAGAAGAAGCUCCGGCUAACUUCGUG
This 431-nucleotide ribosomal RNA is filed under the name uncultured bacterium. RNAcentral describes it as "bacterial SSU rRNA". It matches the Rfam family "Bacterial small subunit ribosomal RNA", at positions 29 to 507 of the family's 1533-position model. The record is from RNAcentral.